Molecule: ribosomal RNA, 497 nt
Filed under: uncultured bacterium
Lineage: Bacteria
Description: partial 16S ribosomal RNA
Rfam family: Bacterial small subunit ribosomal RNA
Source: RNAcentral
GAUGAACGCUGGCGGCGUGCCUAAUACAUGCAAGUCGAGCGAACAGAUGAGGAGCUUGCUCCUCUGACGUUAGCGGCGGACGGGUGAGUAACACGUGGAUAACCUACCUAUAAGACUGGGAUAACUUCGGGAAACCGGAGCUAAUACCGGAUAAUAUAUUGAACCGCAUGGUUCAAUAGUGAAAGACGGUUUUGCUGUCACUUAUAGAUGGAUCCGCGCCGCAUUAGCUAGUUGGUAGGGUAACGGCUUACCAAGGCAACGAUGCGUAGGCGACCUGAGAGGGUGAUCGGCCACACUGGAACUGAGACACGGUCCAGACUCCUACGGGAGGCAGCAGUAGGGAAUCUUCCGCAAUGGGCGAAAGCCUGACGGAGCAACGCCGCGUGAGUGAUGAAGGUCUUCGGAUCGUAAAACUCUGUUAUUAGGGAAGAACAAAUGUGUAAGUAACUAUGCACGUCUUGACGGUACCUAAUCAGAAAGCCACGGCUAACUACGUG